UUUUUAGUAUGUUUUUAGUAGAAUCUAGUUACUUUUAGGGAUGUUUUCAUUAGUUUUUAUGUUAAAUUCACAUUUCGGGACUUUACUAUGAGUUUGUGUGUUUUUCUGUGAUUUCAGGUAUUUUCUGGCUGAAAUUGAGGGACUUGAGCAAAAAUCAGAUUCAGAGGUUGAAGAAGGAUUGCUGAUGUUGUUGGAUUCUGACCUCCCUACACUCAAAAUGGAUUUUAUGGAGCUACAGAACUCGAAAUGGUGCGCUUCCAAUUGCGUUGGAAAGUAGACAUCUAGGGCUUUCCAGAAAUAUAUAAUAGUCCAUACUUUUCCCGAGUUUAGAUGACGCAAACUGGCAUUCAACGCCAGCUCUCUGCCCAAUUCUGGCGUCCAGCGCCAGAAACAAGUUGCAAAGUGGAGUUCAACGCCCAAACUGGUACAAAAGCUGGCGUUCAACUCUAGAAAGAGCCUCUGUACGUGUAACAUUCAAGCUCAGCCCAAGCACACACCAAGUGGGCCCCGGAAGUGGAUUUAUGUAUCAAUUACUUACUUCUGUAAAUCUUAGUAGCUAGUUUAUUAUAAAUAGGACUUUUUACUAUUGUAUUAUCAAUUUCGAACAAUAAUUCACAACCUGAGUAACAAUUUCGCAUACCAAGUUUUUGGCGCCGUUGCCGGGGAUUGUUUGAGUUUGGACAACUGACGGUUCAUCCUGUUGCUCAGAUUAGGUAAAUUUCUUUUUGUUUUCUUGUCAAAAAUUUUUCAAAAAUUUUUCAAAAAUUUCUCCUUUGUUUUCGAAAAAAAAUCUUAAAAUAAAAAUGUUUUCAAAAAUAUAUUUUUCUUUAGAAUUUUUAAGAAUGAAUUCUAGUGUUUCAUGAAGCAUGUUGAAGCCUGGCUGGCUGUAAAGCCAUGUCUAAAUUCUUUGGACUGAAGUUUUGGCUUAAAAUUGAAUGAAUUACACUCAUAUUUUGACUAAAGCUUGGCUGGCUAUUAAGCCAUGCCUGACCCUUUGAUUGGAGCUUUAGACUAACAUGGCAAGAUUCCUAGAAUUCAUAUUAAAAAUUUUAGAAUCCUUAUUUUUCUUUUUCAAAAAUGUUUUUUCGAAAAAAUUAAAAGAAAAUACAAAAAAAAAAUUCAUAAAAUCAUAAAAAUAAAAAAUAUUUUGUGUUUCUUGUUUGAGUCUUGAGUCAGAUUUUAAGUUUGGUGUCAGUUGCAUGUGCAUCUUGCAUUUUUCGAAAAUUCAUGCAUUCAUAGUGUUCUUCAUGAUCUUCAAGUUGUUCUUGGUAAGUCUUCUUGUUUGAUCUUGAUGUUUUCUUGUUUUGUGUUGUAUGGUGUUUUUCAUAUGCAUUCUUGAAUUCUUAGUGCCUAAGCAUUAAAGAUUUCUAAGUUUGGUGCCUUGCAUAUUUUCUUUGCAUUAAAAAUUUUUCAAAAAUAUGUUCUUGGUGUUCAUCUUGACAUUCAAAGUGUUCUUGGUGUUCAUCUUGACAUUCAUAGCAUUUUUGCAUGCAUUCAUUGUUUUGAUCUAAAAAUCUUCAUGCAUUGCAUAAUUUUCAUGUUUUUCUCCCUCAUCAUUAAAAAUUCAAAAAUCAAAAAAAUAUCUUUCCCGUUUUCUCUCUUAAAAUUUCGAAAAUUAGAUUUGACUUUUUCAAAAAUUUUUAAAAUCUAGUUGUUUCUUAUGAGUCAAAUCAAAUUUUCAAUUUAAAAAUCUCAUCUUUUUCAAAAUCUUUUUCAAAAAUCAAAUCUUUUUCAUUUUUCUUAGUUAUUUUCGAAAAUUAUAAAAAUGUUUUUCAAAAAUCUUUUUCUUAUCUUUAUCACAUAAUUUUCGAAAAUAACAUCACCAAUUAAUGUUUUGAUUCAAAAAUUUCAAGUUUGUUACUUGCUUCUUAAGAAAGAUUCAAACUUUAAGUUCUAGAAUCAUAUCUUAUGAUUUCUUGUGAAUCAAGUCAUUAAUUGUGAUUUUAAAAAUCAAAUCUCUUUCAAAAAACUAAUUUCUAUCAUAUCUUUUCAAAAAUAUCUUCUUAUCUUAUCCUUUUCAAAAAUUUGAUUUCAAAAUAUCUUUUCUAACCUCUUAUCUUCUUAUCUUUUCAAAAUUGAUUUUCAAAAUUUGUUUCAACUAACUAACUAACUUUUUGUUUGUUUCUUAUCUUUUUCAAAACCACCUAACUAACUCUCUCUCUCUAAUUUUCGAAAAUAUCUCCCUCUUUUUCAAAAAAAUUCUUUUUAAUUAACUAAUUAUUUUAAUCUUUGAUUUUAAAAAUUUUCGAAAAUUACUAACCUUUUUCAAAAACCAUUUUCGAAAAUCACUAACCCUUUUUCAAAAAUAAUUUUCGAAAAUCCUUCUCCCUCAUCUCCUUCUAAUUAUUUAUUCAUCUACUAACACUUCUCUUCCUCACAUCACUCACCAAAUUCGAACCCCCUCUUCUAUCUGUGUUCGAAUUUUUUUUUCUUCUUCUCUUCUUCUACUAACAAUAAGGAACCUCUUUACUGUGACAUAGAGGAUUCCUCUUCUUUUCUUGUUCUCUUCUCUUUCUUAUGAGCAGGAACAAGGAAAAAGGCAUUCUUGUUGAAGCUGAUCCAGAACCUGAAAGGACUCUGAAGAGGAAACUAAGAGAAGCUAAAUUACAACAAUCCAAAGACAACCUUAUUGAAAAUUUCGAACAAGUAAAGGAGAUGGCAGCUGAACCCAACAACAAUAAUGCAAGGAGAAUGCUUGGUGACUUUACUGCACCUAAUUCUAAUUUACAUGGAAGAAGCAUCUACAUUCCUGCCAUUGACUGUCUGAAUUAGUUAAAAUGUCAUUGGAUACCUCUGCAGGUGGAUCCAUUCACCUAAAGAAAAUGCCUGCAGAAGCUCAAGAACUCAUUGACAUGGUUGCUAAUAACCAGUUCAUGUACACUUCUGAGAGGAAUCCUGUGAGUAAUGGGACGCCUCAGAAGAAGGGAGUUCUUGAAAUUGAUACUCUGAAUGCCAUAUUGGCUCAGAAUAAAAUAUUGACUCAGAAAGUCAAUAUGAUUUCUCAGAGUCUGAAUGGAAUGCAAGCUGCACCCAACAGUACUCAAGAGGCAUCUUCUGAAGAAGAAGCUUAUGAUCCUGAAAACCCUGCAUUAGCAGAGGUAAAUUAUAUGGGUGAACCUUAUGGAAACACAUAUAAUCCAUCAUAGAGAAAUCAUCCAAAUCUCUCAUGGAAGGACCAAAGGCCUUAACAAGGCUUUAAUAAUGGUGGAAGAAACAGGUUUAACAAUAAUAAUGAUGAGGAUGAAUUCAUCAUCCUUGGAAGACCCUUCCUAGCCACAGCAAGAGCUGUGAUUGAUGUGGACAGAGGAGAAUUGAUCCUUCAAAUAAAUGAGGAUAACCUUGUGUUUACAACUCAAGGAUAUCUCUCUGCAUCCAUGGAGAGGAAGCAUAAAAAGCUUCUCUCAAAGCAGAAUCAAACAAAGCCCCCACAGUCAAACUCUAAGUUUGGUGUUGGGAGGCCACAACCAAACUCUAAGUUUGGUGUCAAACCCCCAUAUCCAAACUCUAAGUUUGGUGUUGGGAGGUUUCAACAAAGCUCUGCACAUCUGUGAGGCUCCAUGAGAGCCCACUGUCAAGCUAUUGACAUUAAAGAAGCGCUUGUUGGGAGGCAACCCAAUGUUUAUUUAUCUAAUUUUCAUUAUUUUUCAUGUUUUAUUAGGUUCAUGAUCAUGUGGAGUCACACAAAAAAUGAAAAAUUUAGAAACAGAAUCAAAAACAGCGGAAGAAAAAUCACACCCUGGAGGAAGCACCUGUCUGGUGUUCAACGCCAGAACAGAGCAUGGUUCUGGCGCUGAACGCCCAAAAUGGGCAGCAUCUGGGCGCUGAACGCCAGAAUUGCACCCUGGAGAAGAGCUGGCGCUGAACGCCCAGAAAUGGGCAACAAAUGGGCGUUGAACGCCCAAAAUGGGCACCAACCUGGCGCUGAACGCCCAGAGUUGUGUGCAAGGGCAUUUUACAUGCCUAAUUUGGUGCAAGGUUGUAAAUCCUUGAACACCUCAGGAUCUGUGGACCCCACAGGAUCCCCACCUACCUCCACUCACUUCUUCUCACCCCUCUUUCACACAAUCCCAUAAACACUCUUCCCCAAAACCCUUCACCAAUCACCUCAAUCUCUCUUCCCUAUCACCACUUCACCACUCACAUCCAUCCACUCUUCCCCAUAAACCUACCUCAUAAACUCCACCUACCUUCAAAAUUCAAAAUCAAUUUCCCACCCUAAAUGGCCGAACCUAACACCCUCUCCCCCCACUAUAUAUAGCCCUCCAUUAUUCUUCAUUUUCACACAACACAACCCUCUUUUCUCUUCUUGGCCGAAACACAACCCCUCUCCCUCUCCUCCAUAUCUUCUUCUUCUCCUUCUAUUCUUUCUUCUUUUGCUCGAGGGCGAGCAAAAUUCUAAGUUUGGUGUGGUAAAAGCAUAAGCUUUUUGUUUUUCCAUUACCAUUGAUGGCACCUAAGACCAGAGAAUCCUCUAGAAAAGGAAAAGGGAAGACAAAAGCUUCCACCUCCGAGUCAUGGGAGAUGGAAAGAUUCAUCUCCAAAGCUCAUCAAGACCACUUCUAUGAUGUUGUGGCCAAGAAGAAGGUGAUCCCCGAGGUCCCUUUCAAGCUCAAGAAGAAUGAGUAUCCAGAGAUCCGACAUGAAAUCCAAAGAAGAGGUUGGGAAGUUCUAACAAACCCCAUCCAACAAGUCGGUAUCCUAAUGGUUCAAGAGUUCUAUGCCAAUGCAUGGAUCACUAGGAACCAUGAUCAAAGUAAGAACCCGAAUCCAAAGAAUUAUGUUACAAUGGUUCGGGGGAAAUACCUAGAUUUUAGUCCGGAGAAUGUGAGGUUGGCGUUUAACUUGCCUAUGAUGCAAGGAGAUGAGCGCCCCUACACUAGAAGGGUCAACUUUAAUCAAAGGUUAGACCAAGUCCUCAUGGACAUAUGUGUGGAAGGAGCCCAAUGGAAGAUUGACUCCAAAGGCAAGCCGGUUCAAUUAAGAAGACUGGACCUCAAGCCUGUGGCUAGAGGAUGGUUGGAGUUCAUCCAACGCUCCAUCAUCCCCACUAGCAACCGAUCUGAAGUUACUGUGGAUCGGGCCAUCAUGAUCCAUAGCAUCAUGAUUGGAGAGGAAGUAGAAGUUCAUGAAGUCAUCUCCCUUGAACUCUACAAAAUAGCUUUUCCUCAUCUUAUCUGCCAUCUAUGUUACUCAGCUGGAGCUUCCAUAGAAGGAGACAUUCACAUUGAGGAAGAGAAGCCCAUCACUAAGAAAAAGAUGGAGCAAGCAAGAGAGCCCAUUCAUGGAGCUCAAGAGGCGUAGGAAGCUCAUCACUAUGAGAUCCCGGAGAUGCCUCAUAUGCAUUUUCCUCCACAAAACUAUUGGGAGCAAAUCAACACCUCCCUAGGAGAAUUAAGUUCCAACAUGGGACAACUAAGGGUGGAACAUCAAGAGCACUCCAUCAUCCUUCAUGAAAUUAGAGAAGAUCAAAAAGCAAUGAGGGAGGAGCAACAAAGACAAGGAAAAGACAUAGAAGAGCUCAAGGACAUCAUUGGUUCCUCAAGAAGGAAACGCCACCAUCACUAAGGUGGACUCAUUCCUUGUUCUCACUUUCUGUUUUUCNNNNNNNNNNNNNNNNNNNNNNNNNNNNNNNNNNNUCAUACUGAACUAGGAGAGUCAAUAACACUAUCUGAACUCUGAGUUCCUAUAGAAGCCAAUCAUUCUGAACUUCAAUGGAUGAAGUGAGAUGCCAAAACUAUUCAAGAGGCAAAAAGCUACAAGUCCCGCUUAUCUAAUUGGAGCUAUGUUUCAUUGAUAGUUUGGAAUUUACAGUAUAUUCUCUUCUUUUUAUCCUAUUUUAUUUUCAGUUGCUUGGGGACAAGCAACAAUUUAAGUUUGGUGUUGUGAUGAGCGGAUAAUUUAUACGCUUUUUGGCAUUGUUUUUAGUAUGUUUUUAGUAGAAUCUAGUUACUUUUAGGGAUGUUUUCAUUAGUUUUUAUGUUAAAUUCACAUUUUUGGACUUUACUAUGAGUUUGUAUGUUUUUCUGUGAUUUCAGGUAUUUUCUGGCUGAAAUUGAGGGACUUGAGCAAAAAUCAGAUUCAUAGGUUGAAGAAGGACUGCUGAUGCUGUUGGAUUCUGACCUCCCUGCACUCAAAAUGGAUUUUCUGGAGCUACAGAACUCGAAAUGGCGCGCUUCUAAUUGCGUUGGAAAGUAGACAUCCAGGGCUUUCCAGCAAUAUAUAAUAGUCCAUACUUU
This 6236-nucleotide long non-coding RNA is filed under the name Arachis ipaensis. Its description in RNAcentral is "long non-coding RNA (AIPA_LNC001743)". The record is from RNAcentral. Lineage: Eukaryota; Viridiplantae; Streptophyta; Magnoliopsida; Fabales; Fabaceae.